CCCUCACAUUAGGACAAAGACUGGGGAAAUGUGGCUGCUUCCCAACAGGAUAACCCUCCAGGACACUGCUGACACACCAUGGGCACAGGCUGAGCUGCAGACCAUGUCUGCUACUACUGUCUUUCUUCCCAGCCCAAGGAGAAGGACCAACAGGAGAAUCAGAGAAACACCCAGCCAUUUCCUGCUUCUCUUUUCUGCUCCUGUAGCCACACAGCUGAAGCCACAAAAUGAGCAAGCAAUAAACAAACAAGAAAUAGGCCAAGUAGCUGAAUCUCCACCCUGACAGCGUGAAGGUAUAUGAUUAUCUUUUCCCAAUUUGAAGAGAAUAAUCUCCCACCCAGCUCUUAGAGAAAAGAGAAACUCCUUCUGUAGCCACAGCUGUAGACUUGAGUGUUGCCUAAAAUUUGAAUACAAUCAACAACCUUUGUCCUAGCCCCUAGCAACCCAAAACUCUGUUAACACUGCCUUGGUUACAAAUCACUUCAGAAACCCUGGUUUUCAGGGAGUAUUUUGGUAAGAGCUUGUGACUGAAUGCCAAUGAUACAAGAUUAUUUUUUAACUUAGAUUUAAAGCAAGUUCAUCACAAUAAACCAUAUGCUUGAGUCAAGGUC
Molecule: long non-coding RNA, 611 nt
Organism: Suricata suricatta (meerkat)
Lineage: Eukaryota; Metazoa; Chordata; Mammalia; Carnivora; Herpestidae
Exons: 2
Source: RefSeq, a predicted model, not a curated record